AGUCGAACGGCAGCGGGGACUUCGGUCCGCCGGCGAGUGGCGAACGGGUGAGUAAUAUAUCGGAACGUACCUUUCAGUGGGGGAUAACGUAGCGAAAGUUACGCUAAUACCGCAUAUUCUGUGAGCAGGAAAGCAGGGGAUCGCAAGACCUUGCGCUGAUUGAGCGGCCGAUAUCAGAUUAGCUAGUUGGUGAGGUAAAGGCUCACCAAGGCGACGAUCUGUAGCGGGUCUGAGAGGAUGAUCCGCCACACUGGAACUGAGACACGGUCCAGACUCCUACGGGAGGCAGCAGUGGGGAAUUUUGGACAAUGGGCGCAAGCCUGAUCCAGCCAUGCCGCGUGAGUGAAGAAGGCCUUCGGGUUGUAAAGCUCUUUCGGCCGGGAAGAAAUCGCAUGGGUUAAUACCCUGUGCGGAUGACGGUACCGGCAUAAGAAGCACCGGCUAACUACGUGCCAGCAGCCGCGGUAAUACGUAGGGUGCGAGCGUUAAUCGGAAUUACUGGGCGUAAAGCGUGCGCAGGCGGUUUUGUAAGACAGGCGUGAAAUCCCCGGGCUCAACCUGGGAACUGCGCUUGUGACUGCAAGGCUAGAGUACGGCAGAGGGGGGUGGAAUUCCACGUGUAGCAGUGAAAUGCGUAGAGAUGUGGAGGAACACCAAUGGCGAAGGCAGCCCCCUGGGUCGAUACUGACGCUCAUGCACGAAAGCGUGGGUAGCAAACAGGAUUAGAUACCCUGGUAGUCCACGCCCUAAACGAUGUCAACUAGGUGUUGGGUGGGUAAAACCAUUUAGUACCGGAGCUAACGCGUGAAG
This 810-nucleotide ribosomal RNA is filed under the name uncultured bacterium. RNAcentral describes it as "bacterial SSU rRNA". It matches the Rfam family "Bacterial small subunit ribosomal RNA", at positions 60 to 864 of the family's 1533-position model. The record is from RNAcentral.